GCAAAGUGACACGUUUUAGGACACAAGACAGGACAAGUUGCGUUGCCUGUCCGGUGUGAACGCACCUUAAGAGAUUUAUUUGUCUUUGAUAUCCAUUUCAGAAUUUUACACAAUGACGUGCAGAGGAACUACAACCUCCUGGGUGGAGAACGCCAGGGGAAAAAAAGCUUAAAGAAAACUGCUUUCUUCACAGUUGUUCUUGGUAAAUGAAUUAUAUCCCUGCAAGUUAUUACUUAUUCUUGGUCAUGUUACUGACUCAUUUAAAGCCUGAAGCUGUAAAAAAGUGAAGAAUCCUUCCGGACAAUACUAGAUAAUUUCUACACUUACUAUGAUUCAAGUUUCUUUUGUUUUUUUAUCUUUUUGCAGAGUCUGUUCGCACUAACUUCCCGACGGCAACGGAGGAACUGGUCGCAGCAUCGUUUGGGGACCAUUUGAAACAGGCACCAGCUCGAUGUGGUGGGAGGGGCACCACCAGAACACCAC
RNAcentral lists this long non-coding RNA (483 nucleotides) under Xyrichtys novacula (pearly razorfish). Lineage: Eukaryota; Metazoa; Chordata; Actinopteri; Labriformes; Labridae. The record is from RNAcentral.